Molecule: ribosomal RNA, 441 nt
Filed under: uncultured bacterium
Lineage: Bacteria
Description: partial 16S ribosomal RNA
Rfam family: Bacterial small subunit ribosomal RNA
Source: RNAcentral
CCUACGGGUGACAGCAGUGGGGAAUAUUGCACAAUGGGGGAAACCCUGAUCCAGCAACGCCGCGUGAAGGAAGACGGUUUUCGGAUUGUAAACUUCUUUUCUUAGUGAAGAAGAAUGACGGUAGCUAAGGAGCAAGCCACGGCCAACUACGUGCCAGCAGCCGCGGUAAUACGUAGGGGGCAAGCGUUGUCCGGAAUUACUGGGUGUAAAGGGAGCGCAGGCGGGAAGCCAAGGCAGCUGUGAAAACUACGGGCUUAACUUGUAGACUGCAGUUGAAACUGGUGUUCUUGAGUGAAGGAGAGGUAGGCGGAAUUCCGAGUGUAGCGGUGAAAUGCGUAGAUAUUCGGAGGAACACCGGUGGCGAAGGCAGCCAACUGGGGUUUAACUGACGCUGAGGCUCGAAAGUGUGGGGAGCGAACAGGAUUAGAUACCCGAGUAGUC